GGUCGGAUGGUGUAAUGGUAGCACGUCCUCGUCUUGAACAUUGUAGUGGAGGGAUGCCCAGUCCGAAUCUGGUUCCGACCC
Non-coding RNA from Cercophora sp. LCS_1, 81 nucleotides. The record is from the annotation of a GenBank genome assembly. NCBI's taxonomy places the organism in Eukaryota, Fungi, Ascomycota, Sordariomycetes, Sordariales, Lasiosphaeriaceae.